Molecule: transfer RNA, 73 nt
Filed under: Canis lupus familiaris (dog)
Lineage: Eukaryota; Metazoa; Chordata; Mammalia; Carnivora; Canidae
Also listed under: 2 other names
Rfam family: tRNA
About the family: Transfer RNA (tRNA) molecules are approximately 80 nucleotides in length. Their secondary structure includes four short double-helical elements and three loops (D, anti-codon, and T loops). Further hydrogen bonds mediate the characteristic L-shaped molecular structure. tRNAs have two regions of fundamental functional importance: the anti-codon, which is responsible for specific mRNA codon recognition, and the 3' end, to which the tRNAs corresponding amino acid is attached (by aminoacyl-tRNA synthetases). tRNAs cope with the degeneracy of the genetic code in two manners: having more than one tRNA (with a specific anti-codon) for a particular amino acid; and 'wobble' base-pairing, i.e. permitting non-standard base-pairing at the 3rd anti-codon position.
Source: Rfam by way of RNAcentral
GCCUGGUUGGCUCAGUUUGUAGAGCAUGUGACUCUUGAUCUCGGGGUUGUGAGUUCAAGCUCCAUGUUGGGCA